CGGCGGACGGGUGAGUAACACGUGGGUAAUCUGCCUUAUACAGGGGGAUAACAGUUAGAAAUGACUGCUAAUACCGCAUAAGCGCACGGAAACGCAUGUUUCUGUGUGAAAAACUCCGGCAGUAUAAGAUGAGCCCGCGUCUGAUUAGCUGGUUGGUGGGGUAACGGCCUACCAAGGCGACGAUCAGUAGCCGGCCUGAGAGGGUGAACGGCCACAUUGGGACUGAGACACGGCCCAAACUCCUACGGAAGGCAGCAG
Molecule: ribosomal RNA, 258 nt
Filed under: uncultured bacterium
Lineage: Bacteria
Description: partial 16S ribosomal RNA
Rfam family: Bacterial small subunit ribosomal RNA
Source: RNAcentral